This 588-nucleotide small RNA is filed under the name Pan troglodytes (chimpanzee). Its description in RNAcentral is "retained intron". Lineage: Eukaryota; Metazoa; Chordata; Mammalia; Primates; Hominidae. The record is from RNAcentral.
CGAGAAAGCCCUACCCUCUGGUUCACCAGCAUGUCUACUGAAUUCUCUUGUUUCUAGGAAAAUUUACUGGCUUUAUUUUUCCCUCACAGAGUGAGGGAAAAAUCCCAGAUAUGGAUGAUUUGCCUGACUCUUGCUUUAAGGAUGAAUUUCUCUGCUUACCAUAGGAAACUCAUCUGCUGUUGACUUUCAUAAAGAGUCAGGACUGCAGAAGUCAGUUACAUCCUGCUGGGGGAAUCAUCUUCCCAGUAAGUGGGAAUAGGCACAUGGUUUGAGUAAUGGGCAAGUCAUCUAUAUGCUUUCUGUCCUUCAGGUACACCAGUACUAUAGCUGUCUCCCAGAAGAGAAAGUCCCUUAUGUCAACAGUCCUGGAGAGAAACUGCGAAUCAAGCAGCUACUACACCAGCUGCCGCCACAUGACAAUGAGGUUCGAUAUUGCAACUCCCUGGAUGAGGAAGAGAAGAGGGAGCUGAAGCUUUUCAGCAGCCAGAGGAAACGCGAAAACUUGGGCCGUGGGAAUGUCAGGCCUUUCCCAGUCACCAUGACAGGAGCUAUUUGUGAACAGGUAAGCAUGGAUUCAGGGGAGUGAAG